CAACGGUGGUAACAACAGCGUGGCACCGACCUGGGCCGACGGAAUAGAAGCAAGAGUCUGGGGAGAAACCUCACAUUUACGGGCCAUCGUUUUUUGACAAGGGAGCCCAGGCAUUUCCGUGGCGGAGAGCACGUGGGUUUUUCCAACAGAUGGUUCUAGUCUGGGUGGAGUCAUCACGGAAGGCUUCCUGGAGGAGGGGACUAUGAAGGAGAAACGAGAGCAGGCCAGGAAGAAAGAGGAGGUCCUCGGUGUCUGUCUCCCCUGGAGCCCCACAGCCCCUACGGGAGGACGAUGAAGAGUCCCCCUGCCCAGAUGCCUCAGGAGAUGUGCCCCACCCAGGGCCCGGCCUACAGCCAGUAGCAGGAGGAUGCAAGGAUGGAUCAGCUCACUGCCAGGUGGGGGGCAACACCUGGAGAGGCUCCCCGUGGAGCCUGCUGGGACGGCAGGGGAUGCACAAGGCCCCGGGAUUAGCCCAGAGCAUCAGGGAAGCCUUCCUGGAGGGGGUGCCACUGAACGAGUCUCAAAAGAGAUCAAGUUGGCCCAGAAAUCCUUGACAAGGAAAAGUUAAAGUUCACAUCAUCCAACUCAUUCAUUGCAGAAAUAAGUGAACAAGCUGAGAUGGGGAGUGAAUUCGAGGUCACAUGGCUUAAUAAGGGGUGAGAUCAGCCAGGAAGGUCAGGACAAGCUGUGAUCCUAACGGUCCCCAACCCAGCAGCAGGACCCAACGGAACUUAAUUUCUCACUUGAGCUCCGCAUCCGGCGUGGGCGUCCGUGGGAGGAACGCUGGUCACUCGGCGGGUCAGGCUGGCAUCUCCACCCGUGCCCCGGGGCAGACUGCCAACUGGCUCCCAAAGCUCCCUCCUGACCUGACCUGCCCAUGCCCGCCCCUGCCCCACGGGCCAAAGCAAAGCACGGGGCGGUGCCUCCCUUCCAGGGUGGUGGCACGUGUCCUGCCGCGCCUGGGGUCAGGAGCCACUGCAGCCGUGACCAUUGGCAUUGAGCAGCAGUGAUGAGAGCUGAGAAGAGAAGCCCAGGACCCCUGUACCCCCACCCGCUGCCCAGUCCCCUACACAUGGGGUGGGGGCGUUGGGAAGAAGUCUGGGCCCCUAGUUCCCUGCCCACUGCCCAGUCCCCUGCACACGGCGGUGGGGGUGGGGGGUGCAGUGGGAAGAAGCCCGGGCACCAGGUCCCCUGCACGGGGUUGGCAGGGAGAAGCCCAGGCCCCCUGUCCCUGCCAGCUGCCAGGUCCCCUGCACAUGGAGGGGGGGCAGUGGGGAGAAGCCCGGCUGCCAGGUCCCCUGCACAUGGAGGGGGGGCAGUGGGGAGAAGCCUGGGCCCCCAGUCCCCCACACACAAGCGCACAGACACACACAGAAGCAGGCACUCCCACGUCAAGGCACACGUUUCAGGUUCCCCGCCGGGGUAAAUGGGACUCCUAGGGACAAAGGUCCUGGGACGCGAGUGUCCCAGGCCGUGGCCCGGCUCACUUACUACUGCAGACU
Canis lupus familiaris (dog) is the source of this 1502-nucleotide long non-coding RNA. RefSeq lists it as uncharacterized. The transcript is spliced from 3 exons. NCBI's taxonomy places the organism in Eukaryota, Metazoa, Chordata, Mammalia, Carnivora, Canidae. The record is from RefSeq and is a predicted model, not a curated record.